UAGAUUUUUGCCCAAUUUUAGCUGGGAAUUCCUUGGAGGAACCUCUGGAGCUGCUCCUGAGGCAGGUCAGUGAUUCAUGCCCUUGAUAAACCUUUGGAUCUUCUUAUCAAAACUCAGAUAUUUUUAUUAAAAUUUAGAAUUUUUAAAAAUGGAGAAUAUUGAAACUCCAAUUGGAGACUCCAAAUCCAGUCUGGAGCCAGGAUUGAGGGCAAAAACCCACUGGAAUCUCCUAAAAAAUUGAUUUUUGCUCAAGAAACAGCUCUGGCCUGGCUGGGAAUUCCUUGAGGAACAGGGGAACAACUCUGGAGCUGCUCCUGAGGCAGGAAUGCUCAUCCGCAGGUGGAAUUGGAUUUCUGCUCCCAUGACUGACAACACAACUCCAUCCUGCUAUUUUCAGCCUCCAUUAUUAUUCCAAAGAGCUGAAACCUCGAUGCCUGUGGACACCCCACACAUCAGGGACACAAAGCCCUGUGGAACCUCUUGGGGAUGGAGGGCCUGAAGAAAAAACCAAACAAUCACCUAA
Zonotrichia albicollis (white-throated sparrow) is the source of this 523-nucleotide non-coding RNA. The record is from RefSeq and is a predicted model, not a curated record. NCBI's taxonomy places the organism in Eukaryota, Metazoa, Chordata, Aves, Passeriformes, Passerellidae.